Molecule: ribosomal RNA, 253 nt
Filed under: uncultured bacterium
Lineage: Bacteria
Description: partial 16S ribosomal RNA
Rfam family: Bacterial small subunit ribosomal RNA
Source: RNAcentral
UACGAAGGGGGCUAGCGUUGCUCGGAAUCACUGGGCGUAAAGCGCACGUAGGCGGCUUUUUAAGUCAGGGGUGAAAUCCUGGAGCUCAACUCCAGAACUGCCUUCGAUACUGGAAAGCUCGAGUCCGGGAGAGGUGAGUGGAACUGCGAGUGUAGAGGUGAAAUUCGUAGAUAUUCGCAAGAACACCAGCGGCGAAGGCGGCUCACUGGCCCGGUACUGACGCUGAGGUGCGAAAGCGUGGGGAGCAAACAGG